UACGGGGGGGGCAAGCGUUGUUCGGAAUUACUGGGCGUAAAGGGUGCGUAGGCGGUUCGUUAAGUCUGUUGUGAAAUCCCCGGGCUCAACCUGGGAAUGGCAAUGGAUACUGGCGAGCUAGAGUGUGAUAGAGGAUGGUGGAAUUCCCGGUGUAGCGGUGAAAUGCGUAGAGAUCGGGAGGAACAUCAGUGGCGAAGGCGGCCAUCUGGAUCAACACUGACGCUGAAGCACGAAAGCGUGGGGAGCAAACAGG
Molecule: ribosomal RNA, 253 nt
Filed under: uncultured bacterium
Lineage: Bacteria
Description: partial 16S ribosomal RNA
Rfam family: Bacterial small subunit ribosomal RNA
Source: RNAcentral